Long non-coding RNA from Cyprinus carpio (common carp), 1762 nucleotides. The record is from Ensembl. NCBI's taxonomy places the organism in Eukaryota, Metazoa, Chordata, Actinopteri, Cypriniformes, Cyprinidae.
AUAAUAUAUUGUGAUCUUAACAUUGGUAUUGUGUCUGACAUUGAGAAUAAGAUGGAUGUAUAUACCCUGAAUUUUAAAAUGUUCUAUGUAAAUCAUAUUUAUUUGGAAUAUACCAUCCUUCUUUUGGUGAAUGCACUUGGAAAGGUUGACAGGCGCUGAAUUUUUUAUUUUUUUUUAUUUUUUUUUAUUUUUUUUUGCAGCUGCAAAUGAACCACAGAACGGUACAGCUUGGUCACCGAAACUCAAGAAUCUAAUUGCUCAGUGAGACAAAAUUACACUCAGAUCUGUUUCACUUAUGGGGGCCUUUGAUUUGGGAAUGAUUAGUGGUUUUUGCAUGUGGGUUGAUGCCAGAUAUGGAACUGGUUUCAUGAAUGAAUGUGUGAUAGCAUUCAGUUUUUUUAUGAUACAAUAUAGAAUAGCAUGUUCUAUAUUGAGGGGGAUUGUGAAUGCAGGCAGAAUGCAGUUAUGGGUUUGAUGUGCAAUUUCCAUGUUUGUUACCAAUAUUUUUAGACCGUGAUGUUUGUAGGCCGAGAUCAAAAGUUUAUUUAGAUUAUGGUCAUAGAAAAAUACAUUAUACAGCCUUUAGACCAUCAAGAAACCAUAAAUCAAUGUGCAUUUUAUCUUAAAUUUUUCCAUGUGUCAUAUUCACAGGAAGAGAGACUUGUAUACACACAAUGGGCUUCAGAAGUCAGAGACUACAUUGAAAACCCAUGCCAGACUUUUAAAGGAUGCUGUACAGGCGGACCACAGGAGCCAGUGUGAAUCAAAGCGACUAUAGCCAAUGGCAACGGUUCAUGUGCAGACAGGUGAAAAAGAUACUUCUGUAGGUCAGCACAAGGUCAUCAAGCAGAAGACAGAUAAGUGACUCUGCAUGAGGUAAUACCACAUCAACCACACACACCUAUUUGGCCUGGCAAAGGGAGCUCUUUGUUAGUACAGAGAAGUGCUGAUGGCUUCUGUCCCCCUCUGGUAGGGUCACAGGGGCCCUUUUCUGAAACAAAAUAGGCCAUGCACCUGCCAAAGAGCCAACAUCAUCAAAUAUUGAUCUAUAUUUACACUACUAGUUAAAGGUUUGGACGCACUGAAUGAAUUUGUUUUAUAUGAUUUUAAAACAUUUGACAUUUUUCAUAUAUGCUUGAAAUUAGAUUUGUAGACAUAAAUUGUGCCUAUGUAUUUCUAUGCAAAUUUAGAAUUUGAUUUUAUUUUUGAAUUUUAAUUUUAUUUUAAGUAUAAUUUGCAUGUCUAUUUUAUUUUAUUUUAUUUUUUAAAAUUUAAUUUAAUCUUUAAAUUAAUUAAAAUUUUAUGAGUCCCUUUGAACUUCCAGUUUUAUUUAUUAGUUUUAAUGACUUUCUAUAAAAUGUGGAGAGAAAAAAAAUGGGUAUGUGCGUGUCUGGUAGUGUAUAUGCCAACAUAACAUUUUAUUAUUUCUCUUUGCAGUCAUUCUCAGAGUCCUAUCCUAUUUCCAUCUGAAAUUAAUGACCACAUUAUUCGGGUCUCUCUGUUACUCAUCACCCAUAAUUCCCUGCUGUGACCUCUACGACCCUCACCUCCUCUUGUGUCUGUCCUCUUUUCCUCCUCAUCCUCUUUUCUAGCAGCAUUCACCUCUGAAUGACUCGAAGCUCUGGCAGGGUGACAGCCCCUGUCUGUCUCUCCAGGACCAACUUGAACCAACACCAGUCUAAUCUCUGGGAUCACCUUUCUUCCAUGGGGACACAAGUGUGGAUCAGUGGGACAGAGCUCCAGGAAUCUCCUCUUUUAAUUU